CGUCAAUAGUGUCAUUUCCUUGAAUGAGGUUGUUGAAUUUGUAUCUCGCAAAUAUGGGGUUUAAAGCAGGCUGAACGUGUGCCUUAAACCUCUCGUAAAGGAAGUCCAACUUUUUUCUGUUCUCUGCUGAUAUGUCUGUCCAGGUAGCAUAGAUGUCUCUUCCUUUAUCACCAAUCCAUAUAAGCAAAUACGACACUUUCUCUUGUUCCGAUUUUUCCUUCAACGGACCAGAAAACAUUAACUCCACAUGUCUUUGAAAUUUUUCCCAUUGUUCUGGGAGAUUACUGGAAUCCCAGUUAAUUACAGGUGAACUUAAUCCUGUUAAUUCCAUCGUUUAAGUUUCCAAAUUUUCUGACACCAUGUAAUGUUUUUGUAUUAUUUUCAUUCCGGGAUUUCACUAACGUGAGGUAAUAAACAAGAAAGACACAGUUGUGAGCUAUUCAAGUUUUAUCUAAGAACUGCCUUUAUGGCGGGAAUUAUAUGUAUAUAUUGCAGAGCUGGUCAGUGAUGCAUUCAUGGAAAUAUUCUGAUAACUUAAGGUCAAGGUUCACAGCCCUAUAAACAUGAAGUCAUUGGGCCAACAACGGAAAACCGUCAAAGGAUAAUCGUUGUUGGGCCAAUGUUGGCCCAACAAUGAUUAAUAAGUAUUGUAAAUACAGCCGUUGGGCCAACGUUGAACCAACUUUGAAUUUCAGUCACAGAUAUCUCUGCAUUGGCCCAAUAUUGAUUUUCAGACAAAGACUUAUACAGAGAAAACAUCGUUGGCCCAACGUUGGCCCAACGUUGACCUAUUAGAAGUCCAUGUUAUGAUAUAAUGAUUAUAUAUUUUACAGGUGACUGUUUUAUCAUAAGCCCCUACAGGUAUACACGCUGUGUAUGUGUAACAUGCAAUAUUUGUUUAAUAAUUAAAUACUUUUCUGCACCAAUUCAUAAUCAGUUAAAUUUGGGCUUAUUAAACUUAACUGCAGCCAUAAUGACAUUUUCAAAUCUACUACCUUGAAAAAAAAUGUGAAAAAAAAAAUGAAAAAGAACCCACUACUAACUCUAUAACAAAUAUCUAAUUUUCUACAGUCAUAAAAUGUUUACAAUAAAUCUGUUGAGUAUUCCAGAACAUGAACUCUCGUUAACCCGGGUUAUGCAAGAAAUCCCAGAAAAUGUGGUUAAUUUUACUCUCUAGGCCAGAUUUCUAGCUGCAUAUAUGUGAAGUAAAGGAAACUAUUAUACAUGUGAUAGAUCUAAAGUUAACAAAAACCCGGUCUACCAGCUAUACACUGUUGCUGUUCAAGAGAGUAAUAAUGGAGUGCAUAGCACUGUGGUGCACAAGAAAAAACAAGAAGAAAAAAGAAAGCAGCAACUUCAGUGAGAAAAAGAAAACAAUCAAACAAAACUUGGAUAUAUAAUGAGUUAAUAUACAGACAGUAAUUCACUUUAGUAGGAUUUAAUCAGUGACUAAAAAAAGAAAAAUAUUUAGAUUUGUAAAAGGCUGGAAUCAAUAUUUGAUAUGUUGUAGUGAUGAAAUUUUCUGUUAUAAUUCUUCAGUGAAAUUGCAAACAAAUUUUAACAAAAUCUCAACUAUAAAAUAAAAUAUGUUCCAAAUAA
Long non-coding RNA from Mercenaria mercenaria, 1599 nucleotides. RefSeq lists it as uncharacterized. The transcript is spliced from 2 exons. Lineage: Eukaryota; Metazoa; Mollusca; Bivalvia; Venerida; Veneridae. The record is from RefSeq and is a predicted model, not a curated record.